RNAcentral lists this ribosomal RNA (543 nucleotides) under uncultured bacterium. RNAcentral's name for it is "partial 16S ribosomal RNA". It matches the Rfam family "Bacterial small subunit ribosomal RNA", at positions 355 to 891 of the family's 1533-position model. The record is from RNAcentral.
UGGGGAAUUUUGGACAAUGGGCGAAAGCCUGAUCCAGCAAUGCCGCGUGUGUGAAGAAGGCCUUCGGGUUGUAAAGCACUUUUGUCCGGAAAGAAAUCCUUGGCUCUAAUACAGUCGGGGGAUGACGGUACCGGAAGAAUAAGCACCGGCUAACUACGUGCCAGCAGCCGCGGUAAUACGUAGGGUGCAAGCGUUAAUCGGAAUUACUGGGCGUAAAGCGUGCGCAGGCGGUUUGCUAAGACCGAUGUGAAAUCCCCGGGCUCAACCUGGGAACUGCAUUGGUGACUGGCAGGCUAGAGUAUGGCAGAGGGGGUAGAAUUCCACGUGUAGCAGUGAAAUGCGUAGAGAUGUGGAGGAAUACCGAUGGCGAAGGCAGCCCCCUGGGCCAAUACUGACGCUCAUGCACGAAAGCGUGGGGAGCAAACAGGAUUAGAUACCCUGGUAGUCCACGCCCUAAAACGAUGUCAACUAGUUGUUGGGGAUUCAUUUCCUUAGUAACGUAGCUAACGCGUGAAGUUGACCGCCUGGGGAGUACGGUCGCAA